RNAcentral lists this transfer RNA (65 nucleotides) under Barbronia yunnanensis. RNAcentral describes it as "tRNA-Lys". The record is from RNAcentral. Lineage: Eukaryota; Metazoa; Annelida; Clitellata; Hirudinida; Salifidae.
AACUAGAGAGCUUGUAUAAUAAGCAUCUGGCUUUUAAUCAGAAGAAAUCAGUUUGUUUCUAGUUA